GCGAAAUCCAUAUUGCAUUAACUAUGUCAGAUUCAGGUAUGCUUCCGCUUUAAUUAUUAUAUUUCUUGAUGAUUUAACAUGAAAGAUCCGGUAUUUAAAGAAUUAAAUUAUCCAACAAUCUGUUCUCUUUUGCAGCUAAGCUUCAAAUUUUGGUUAUUUGUUCUCUAUAUAUAUCUACAGUUCAUUCUCUCUCUCAACAAGUAUCAGUAAACGCAUGGCUUCUUGAAAGCUUCAGAUCUAAUCUGAGCACAAACAAAAUGGAUCCUAAAAAGGUAAAAUUAAGUGAUCUCAGUGAAAAUAUUUUGAGGCUUUACUCCAAAACAAAAGCAUUCCUUUUUGUUUCUGUUUUCACGUUCUUCAUUAAUUUCCUCUCUUCUGAUUGUUGUCCAAUGUGUAGAUCCCCUUUGGACAAAUCCUUUAAAAUUCAUCUUAAAAUUAAUUUCUUGAAAAUAUGUAACUUAGCUACGAAUACGAUACAUAUGUGUCCUCCCGUUCAAAUUACUGAUUUAUGAUUUUGCUCAAAUCUGUUUUACAGGGCUUUCAAACCACUCUUAAUUCGUAAGAAAAUUGACUGGAAAUCUUCAAAUUGAUUUUUUUACAGACAUGGUUCAAAUUAUACUGAUUACUCGAUUCAACUAGAGUUUUUUCAAUAUUCAAACAUUGUAAUAUAUCCUGUAAAUUGUUUCUUUGAUUUGCUUUUUUCUUCGUGUUUUCAUUUUUUCUCUUCAUUUCUUUCCACCUCUUUUUAUGGUUUUGUUUUGUUUUUCUGUAUUUCUCUUCUUUGUAAUGCUAAACAAAGAUUCUAGAUAUGUAAAUCAAUGCACGUUUAUGCUUAUGUGUAUAUGCAUUGUCCAGAUCUUUAAGUUAUUAAUGGGCUUUGAACUUUUUUUCCAAAUAUAAUAACCUAAGAUGAGUACUAGAAUAUUCUCUAAGUAAAUGUACAAAGUGAUUAGUAUUAGAAGUUACAGAAAAAGGAAGGAAAGGAGAAUUCAAAGCUUUCACAUCUGUGUUUCAUCUUAAAAAGGGAAAUACAGCUUAAU
RNAcentral lists this long non-coding RNA (1040 nucleotides) under Olea europaea subsp. europaea. Lineage: Eukaryota; Viridiplantae; Streptophyta; Magnoliopsida; Lamiales; Oleaceae. The record is from RNAcentral.